UGGGGAAUAUUGCACAAUGGGCGAAAGCCUGAUGCAGCAACGCCGCGUGAGUGAUGAAGGCCUUCGGGUUGUAAAGCUCUGUCUUUUGGGACGAUAAUGACGGUACCAAAGGAGGAAGCCACGGCUAACUACGUGCCAGCAGCCGCGGUAAUACGUAGGUGGCAAGCGUUGUCCGGAUUUACUGGGCGUAAAGGAUGCGUAGGCGGAUUUUUAAGUGAGAUGUGAAAACCCUAAGCUUAACUUGGGGACUGCAUUUCAUACUGGAAAUCUAGAGUGCGGGAGAGGAGAAUGGAAUUCCUAGUGUAGCGGUGAAAUGCGUAGAGAUUAGGAAGAACACCAGUGGCGAAGGCGAUUCUCUGGGCCGUAACUGACGCUGAGGCAUGAAAGCGUGGGUAGCAAACAGGAUUAGAUACCCUGGUAGUCCACGCCGUAAACGAUGAGUACUAGGUGUAGGAGGUAUCGACCCCUUCUGUGCCGCAGUUAACACAAUAAGUACUCCGCCUGGGAAGUACGAUCGCAAGAUUAAAACUCAAAGGAAUUGACGGGGUCAUAGCUG
Molecule: ribosomal RNA, 556 nt
Filed under: uncultured bacterium
Lineage: Bacteria
Description: partial 16S ribosomal RNA
Rfam family: Bacterial small subunit ribosomal RNA
Source: RNAcentral